This 460-nucleotide ribosomal RNA is filed under the name uncultured bacterium. RNAcentral describes it as "partial 16S ribosomal RNA". It matches the Rfam family "Bacterial small subunit ribosomal RNA", at positions 338 to 795 of the family's 1533-position model. The record is from RNAcentral.
CCUACGGGAGGCAGCAGUGAGGAAUAUUGGUCAAUGGACGAGAGUCUGAACCAGCCAAGUAGCCUGAAGGAUGACUGCCCUAUGGGUUGUAAACUUCUUUUAUAUGGGAAUAAAAUGUUCCACGUGUGGGAUUUUGUAUGUACCAUAUGAAUAAGGAUCGGCUAACUCCGUGCCAGCAGCCGCGGUAAUACGGAGGAUCCGAGCGUUAUCCGGAUUUAUUGGGUUUAAAGGGAGCGUAGGUGGAUUGUUAAGUCAGUUGUGAAAGUUUGCGGCUCAACCGUAAAAUUGCAGUUGAAACUGGCAGUCUUGAGUACAGUAGAGGUGGGCGGAAUUCGUGGUGUAGCGGUGAAAUGCUUAGAUAUCACGAAGAACUCCGAUUGCGAAGGCAGUUCACUGGACUGCAACUGACACUGAGGCUCGAAAGUGUGGGUAUCAAACAGGAUUAGAUACCCCAGUAGUC